This 460-nucleotide ribosomal RNA is filed under the name uncultured bacterium. RNAcentral describes it as "partial 16S ribosomal RNA". It matches the Rfam family "Bacterial small subunit ribosomal RNA", at positions 338 to 795 of the family's 1533-position model. The record is from RNAcentral.
CCUACGGGCGGCAGCAGUGAGGAAUAUUGGUCAAUGGACGAGAGUCUGAACCAGCCAAGUAGCGUGAAGGAUGACUGCCCUAUGGGUUGUAAACUUCUUUUAUAUGGGAAUAAAAUGUUCCACGUGUGGGAUUUUGUAUGUACCAUAUGAAUAAGGAUCGGCUAACUCCGUGCCAGCAGCCGCGGUAAUACGGAGGAUCCGAGCGUUAUCCGGAUUUAUUGGGUUUAAAGGGAGCGUAGGUGGAUUGUUAAGUCAGUUGUGAAAGUUUGCGGCUCAACCGUAAAAUUGCAGUUGAAACUGGCAGUCGUGAGUACAGUAGAGGUGGGCGGAAUUCGUGGUGUAGCGGUGAAAUGCUUAGAUAUCACGAAGAACUCCGAUUGCGAAGGCAGCUCACUGGACUGCAACUGACACUGAGGCUCGAAAGUGUGGGUAUCAAACAGGAUUAGAGACCCCUGUAGUC